AGUGAACGCUGGCGGUAGGCCUAACACAUGCAAGUCGAACGGCAGCACAGUAAGAGCUUGCUCUUACGGGUGGCGAGUGGCGGACGGGUGAGGAAUACAUCGGAAUCUACUUUUUCGUGGGGGAUAACGUAGGGAAACUUACGCUAAUACCGCAUACGACCUACGGGUGAAAGCAGGGGAUCUUCGGACCUUGCGCGAUUGAAUGAGCCGAUGUCGGAUUAGCUAGUUGGCGGGGUAAAGGCCCACCAAGGCGACGAUGCGUAGCUGGUCUGAGAGGAUGAUCGGCCACACUGGAACUGAGACACGGUCCAGACUCCUACGGGAGGCAGCAGUGGGGAAUAUUGGACAAAGGGCGCAAGCCUGAUCCAGCCAUGCCGCGUGAGUGAAGAAGGCCUUCGGGUUGUAAAGCCCUUUUGUUGGGAAAGAAAAGCAGCAGGUUAAUACCCCGCUGUUCUGACGGUACCCAAAGAAUAAGCACCGGCUAACUUCGUG
This 492-nucleotide ribosomal RNA is filed under the name uncultured bacterium. RNAcentral describes it as "partial 16S ribosomal RNA". It matches the Rfam family "Bacterial small subunit ribosomal RNA", at positions 29 to 507 of the family's 1533-position model. The record is from RNAcentral.